AAUCAUCAUGCCCUUUAUGUCCUGGGCUACACACGUGCUACAAUGGCCUGUACAAAGGGCAGCAAAGGGGCGACCCGGAGCAAUCCCAAAAACAGGUCUCAGUUCGGAUUGCAGGCUGCAACUCGCCUGCAUGAAGGCGGAAUCGCUAGUAAUCGCAGGUCAGCAUACUGCGGUGAAUACGUUCCCGGGCCUU
RNAcentral lists this ribosomal RNA (193 nucleotides) under uncultured Desulfotomaculum sp. RNAcentral's name for it is "partial 16S ribosomal RNA". It matches the Rfam family "Bacterial small subunit ribosomal RNA", at positions 1188 to 1382 of the family's 1533-position model. The record is from RNAcentral. Lineage: Bacteria; Bacillati; Bacillota; Clostridia; Eubacteriales; Desulfotomaculaceae.